Molecule: long non-coding RNA, 520 nt
Organism: Arabidopsis lyrata subsp. lyrata
Lineage: Eukaryota; Viridiplantae; Streptophyta; Magnoliopsida; Brassicales; Brassicaceae
Exons: 3
Source: RefSeq, a predicted model, not a curated record
GUCUUUAUCGGUUCUAUGAAACACCAAACCUAGAAAACUCUCAUACUAAUCUUCGAUCUGAAUUUCAACAACGAAAUACUGCUUAGAUCGAGCUUUGUCGUUGCUGUUUAUCAAGUUUGUACCGCAGAUUCCGAAUUAUAGAAACAGUUCAAGUUCGUUGGAUAAGACAGAUUCACAGAGGAAGCAUUCUUCUCAUUGGUUACAGAUUGUUCCAAAGGAUCUUUCUGCAACAGUCUAGAUAAUCUGUUGGGGGAUAGGCGGUCAGAUGUCACCACCACCUUUGCCGUCACGGUCGCAGUUGCAUAUCCGAUGGCUUAGAAGAGAGGUGGCGGCCACGAGGGCUUGGGAGAUCCCAUUAACCCUAAAUUUUGAUGGGUUAGAGUUUAGGUUUGGGUUUGGGCUUGGGAUUGGGCUUGUAUAUUCAUUUGUAUUAAGAUUAGGCCUAAUAAUUGUUGGUUUGUAAUUGUAAUUUUUUUUUUGAGCCCAUUAUGAUUAUUUUUUUGUUUAAUUCGGUUCAAAU